Molecule: ribosomal RNA, 253 nt
Filed under: uncultured bacterium
Lineage: Bacteria
Description: partial 16S ribosomal RNA
Rfam family: Bacterial small subunit ribosomal RNA
Source: RNAcentral
UACGGGGGGGGCAAGCGUUGUUCGGAAUUAUUGGGCGUAAAGGGCGCGUAGGCGGUCGUGCAAGUGGAAGGUGAAAUCCCUCGGCUCAACCGAGGAACUGCCUUUCAAACUGCAUGACUUGAGUCCGGGAGAGGUGAGUGGAAUUCCCAGUGUAGCGGUGAAAUGCGUAGAUAUUGGGAGGAACACCAGUGGCGAAGGCGGCUCACUGGACCGGAACUGACGCUGAGGCGCGAAAGCGUGGGGAGCAAACGGG